UACAGAGGGUGCAAGCGUUAAUCGGAAUUACUGGGCGUAAAGCGUGCGCAGGCGGUGAUGUAAGACAGAUGUGAAAUCCCCGGGCUCAACCUGGGACCUGCAUUUGUGACUGCAUCGCUAGAGUACGGUAGAGGGGGAUGGAAUUCCGCGUGUAGCAGUGAAAUGCGUAGAUAUGCGGAGGAACACCGAUGGCGAAGGCAAUCCCCUGGACCUGUACUGACGCUCAUGCACGAAAGCGUGGGGAGCAAACAGG
RNAcentral lists this ribosomal RNA (253 nucleotides) under uncultured bacterium. RNAcentral describes it as "partial 16S ribosomal RNA". It matches the Rfam family "Bacterial small subunit ribosomal RNA", at positions 524 to 776 of the family's 1533-position model. The record is from RNAcentral.